Long non-coding RNA from Chelonia mydas (Green sea turtle), 2597 nucleotides. RefSeq lists it as uncharacterized. The transcript is spliced from 3 exons. The record is from RefSeq and is a predicted model, not a curated record. Lineage: Eukaryota; Metazoa; Chordata; Testudines; Cheloniidae.
GUGCCCCAACCCAUUUGGCACAGCUUGCCUCCCAUCAGACCCACACUGCACAGUCUGUGCAUGUGCCACAGGGGCGGCAGAGAAGAACAACCUUGCAGCUGCAGCGCUGUUUGCUGCGUUCAUUGGACCUGAGUGGAGACGAGUGACCAAUACACAUAUUACAUAUAUAAAAUGUGUGUGCUUGCAAAAUUAGUAGAUUUAAUCCUGUUAGUAAUUUUAUAAUAACGUAAAAAAAUUGAGAGGAUUACUAAAAAUAAAGGAGGGUUGGCAUCUCUGAUAGAUGUAGAAACAUUUGCAUUUAUACGUUCUCUUUCUCAAUAUUGUCUGUUUUGUUGAUAGGCUACUACCUGUUCUGAAUUGUGCAGGUCUGUCCCAUAUCUUGGAAGAUGCACUUGAAGGACAUUUACAAAUUCUGAAUUUAUUGUGGAUAGGGAAUCACCCAGGAUGAGGUAACCAUCAUGAGGUAAUGCUAUGACACAGUGGAAUUUGUUCCACACGAUAAAUCCCUAAAAAUGGCAAACUUGGAUCCUCAGAAUUCAGAAAUGCUUUUUAGCCCUGAGGACAAUGGCAAGCCUGAUUUGUUUGCUCCAUCAGAAAUGGCCAGCUAACCUGGGACUUCUGAAAAAUGCAAUCCUAGAGUAUUCCACAUGAUCAUCUGGAGAAAAUGUAGGACAUGAUCUUUCACACACUUCCUGCUCCUCAGAGGCCCUGAUCCAGUAAUGAGCCCUGCUUGGGAAGACCUCUGUGCUUGCAUGAAACUCACUGUAGGACUGGGCCAUUGUACACUGCUUUAAGUAGUCCCAUUGACAUCCAAGAGAAUAUUAAUGGUAGUAAGUACUACACCUAGCAUUGCUUCACUGGAUUGUAAGAAACUGUAGACACAGAACUGUCGUUGUAUAAAUAAGACUGGAGGAACGUUGUGGCAUGUUUCUGAGGGAAAUAAUGUAUUUGUCUUGACAAUUUAGAAAAGUAAUUGAAAAAUCCUGAGUGCAGGCUUCAAUGAAGGAAAGAAAGAAAGAAAGAAAAUGGCAGUGGCAACCUGUGUGGAGUCCUUCUACUAUCCUUUUCUCCCAUGCAUAGUUCCUUUCCAUAGUUUUACAGAUAAGUAUGAUUAACUUAGAAACAAUGACCAACAAUUUCAAUGCUGUAAUGAAUGAGGCAACAAUGGACAUGCUUGGGAAACACCGUAAGAAGACAAAAUCUUGGGUCACAAAUGAAACACUACAAAUGUGUGACAUUAGAAGAGAACUCAAGAAAGACAAGAACAGCACUGAGCGAGCUGAUAAAUACUGAGCAAUUGGCAGAAAGAUCAAGAAAGGAAUGAAGGUGGCCAAGGAGAUAUGGAUCAAAAAACAAUCUCUAAAAUUGAAGAGUGUAUCAAUAAUAAAAAUAGCAAACGAGCCUUCCACGUUGUAAAAGAUCUGACAAAGGAAAGAUGGACCAAAGCUAACGCAAUUGAUGACAAGGAAGGGAACAGUCUUACAGAAGAAAGGGACAUCAUCAAUAGGUGGACAAACUACUGCUCUGAUCUAUACAACUACCAGACAAAUGGAGAUCCUAGUGUCCUAGACAGCCCAGAUUCAACAGAGGAGGAGGGUUUUCCAAUACUGCGUGAAGAAGUGGAGACAGAUGUCAGAUCACUCAAGAACGGAAAGGCAACAGGUAUUGACAACAUCCUAGCCAAACUGAUGAAAUUUGGAGGAUAAUUAUUAAUAGAUGUACUCACCAAGAUCUGCAACAAGAUCUGGCAGACUGGUGAGUGGCCCUCCACGUGGACACAGUCACUAAUCAUCACUCUGCCAAAGAAAGGCAACCUGCAAUUGUGUCAAAAUUACCAGACCAUAAGCUUGAUUAGCCAUCCCAGCAAAGUGAUGUUGAAAAUCAUAUUGAACAGAUUGAAGCCACAAGCGGAGAAUAUCAUCACUGAAGAACAGGCUGGCUUUCAUGCUGGAAGAAGUAUCACAGAACAGAUUUUUCAACCUCCGUGUUCUAUGUGAGAAGUACUUACAACACCAGCAGGACAUCUACCACAUCUUUGUUGACUUCAAGAAAGCAUUUGACAGAGUAAGGCAUGAAGCUCUCUGGACAACCAUGAAGAAGUACAAUGUUGGUCAUAAGCUUAUUCUUACCUUUAAACAACUGUAUGCCAAGGCCAGCAGUGCAGUUCUCAUCAAUGACACAAUAGGAGAGUGGUUUCGCACCACUGUUGCAGUCCAGCAAGUCUGCCUUCUUUCGUUUGCACUGUUCAACAUUUAUUUGGAGUGCCUAGUGACUGAUGCCCUAGAAGAUCACAUAUUCACAGUCAGCAUUGGGGGGGCGAACAAUCUCAAAUGUUUGGUUUGCUGAUGACAUUGACGGCUUGGCAGGUAGCAAAGAUGAACUUGCCAACCUUGUGAAAUGAUUGGAUGAAACCUCCGCAAAAUACGGCGUGGAAAUCAGUGCAGAGAAAACCAACCUGAUGACAAACAAACGUGACAGGAUCAGCUCACAUAUCACUGUCAGUGGACGAGAACUGGAGACAGUUCAAGUAUUUGGGGGCAAUCACCACUGAUGAAGGAUCAAAGGCAGAAAUUCUGGCAAGAACUGCGCAAACAACA